RNAcentral lists this ribosomal RNA (991 nucleotides) under uncultured bacterium BMS_10. Its description in RNAcentral is "bacterial SSU rRNA". It matches the Rfam family "Bacterial small subunit ribosomal RNA", at positions 28 to 1079 of the family's 1533-position model. The record is from RNAcentral.
GACUAACGCUGACGGUGUGCCUAAUCUAUGCAAGUUUUUGGAGAGUAGCUUCGGUUACAAUCCAAGGCAGACGAGAGAGUAACAUGUAGGAACCAACCCUUUAAUUGAGGAUAACCCCGAGAAAUCGGGGAUAAUACUCGAUAGUCUCUACGGAGUAAAGCUUCGGUGCUAAAGGACGGGCCUGCAUCCUAUCAGCUAGUUGGUGAGGUAAUUGCUCACCAAGGCAAUGACGGGUAGGGGGCGUGAGAGCGUGUUCCCCUCGAUGGCACUGAGAUACGGGCCAUACAUCUACGGAUGGCAGCAAGUAGGAAUAUUGCGCAAUGGUCGCCUUUGGCGACUGACGCAGCGACACCGUGUGAAGGAAGAAGGCUUUCGGGUUGUAAACUUACGUUAAGAAGGGGCGGCUAACUUCGUGCCAGCAGCAGCGGUAAUACGGGGGCCCCAAGCGUUGUCCGGUUUUAUUGGGCGUAAAGAGUUCUGUAGGCGGUUUUGUAAGUUACGGGUUAAAUCCUCCGGCUCAACCGGAGACAUGCUUGUAAUACUGCAUAACUAGAGAUAGACAGGGGAGAGUAGAGCGCAUGGUGUAGUGGUGGAAUACGUUGAUAUCAUGCGGAAUACCGAAGGCGUAGGCAGCCCUCUGGGUCUAUUCUGACGCUGAGAGACGAAAGCGUGGGGAGCAAAACGGAUUAGAUACCCGUGUAGUCCACGCCGUAAACGAUGUUCACUAGAUCCGUGUUCUCUAUUUGAGGAUGCGAGUCGCAGCUAACGCAUUAAGUGAACCGCCUGGGAAUUACGGCCGCAAGGCUAAAACUCAAAGGAAUUGACGGGGACCCGCACAAGCGGUGGAGCGCCUGCUUUAAUUCGAUGUUAAGCGAAGAACCUUACCGAGGUUUGACAUGCUACUGCAUCCGUUACGAAAGUAAUGGAGUCCUUCGAGGGUGUGGCACAGGUAUUGCAUGGCUGUUGUCAGCUCGUGUCGUGAGAUGUACCG